UACGGAGGGUGCUAGCGUUGUUCGGAAUUACUGGGCGUAAAGGGCGCGUAGGCGGCCCUGUCAGUCGGAUGUGAAAGCCCGGGGCUCAACCCCGGAACGGCAUCCGAGACGGCAGGGCUGGAGACCGGGAGAGGAGAGUGGAAUAGCCAGUGUAGAGGUGAAAUUCGUAGAUAUUGGCUGGAACACCGGUGGCGAAAGCGGCUCUCUGGCCCGGUUCUGACGCUGAGGCGCGAAAGCGUGGGGAGCAAACAGG
RNAcentral lists this ribosomal RNA (253 nucleotides) under uncultured bacterium. RNAcentral's name for it is "partial 16S ribosomal RNA". It matches the Rfam family "Bacterial small subunit ribosomal RNA", at positions 524 to 776 of the family's 1533-position model. The record is from RNAcentral.